CCGAGUUUACAACUCCCAAACCCCUGUGAACAUACCUAUACGUUGCCUCGGCGGAUCAGCCCGCGCCCCGUAAAAAGGGACGGCCCGCCCGAGGACCCCUAACUCUGUUUUUAGUGGAACUUCUGAGUAAAACAAACAAAUAAAUCA
Molecule: unclassified non-coding RNA, 147 nt
Filed under: soil metagenome
Description: partial internal transcribed spacer 1
Source: RNAcentral